Molecule: non-coding RNA, 2260 nt
Organism: Microcebus murinus (gray mouse lemur)
Lineage: Eukaryota; Metazoa; Chordata; Mammalia; Primates; Cheirogaleidae
Source: RefSeq, a predicted model, not a curated record
AAAUAAUUCAACACAGCCAAGGCCAGAUGCGGAACCCACCUGAGCUCAGCACAAAUUGUUGACUUGCAGAACUCAUUCAGAGGAAAGGGGGUUAAUAUGACGGACACUGAUGAAAUCUCAACAACUUUUAAAGACUGAUCUGAGACUUGAAUCUCAUUCUCCUGACUCAAAGGCCAAGUGAAGCCUAGAGAAGAUAUGUGACUUGCUCAACUUCAUAGAGCUGAUAAGUGGAAGAGUUGGAAUUUAAAUACAGAUUGCUUUAAUUACAAAGGUCCUACUGUUAACCAUUAAGGUAUAAUUUAAUAAUAAUAAAAUUAAUAAUGUGGUUGCCCAUCAUAACACUGCUACAUUGACCCGAGAUACUUUAUGAUAAUCCUAACUUUGUAUAGUUGUCCUUCAGUAUAUGUGGGAGAUGGGUUCCAGGACCCCUAUAUACACCAAAAUCCACACAUACUAAAGUCCCACAAUGGGCCCAGAAAAACCACUGUAUAGGAAAAGUCAUCCCUCUGUAUUUGCACAUUUUGCAUCCCAUAACUACUAUAUUUUCAAUCUACAUUUAGUUGGAAAAAAAAAUCCAUGUAUAAGUGGACCAACACAGUUCAAACCUGUGUUGUGCAAGGGUCGACUGUAUUUAAUGCAUCAGUUCAAAAGGUCAGUGGAAAACCAGGUACUAUCUAAAUAUUCUGUCCAUUUUUGGAGCUAUUUAUGUUUUACAAUGAGCCUCUCCCCUGUAGACUCUUCUUAGAUCAACUCUAUAGAGUAUUUAUUUAUUAGGACUAAGGAAUUAUUUGUGUGUGCAUAUAGUUGGUCCAAAAAGUAAACCACUGUCCCAAACAGGGCCAGAAUCAUUUUCUGGUGUUGACAUUCUGAUGCUGCGAAAAAGAAAUGCUCUCAUUCUCCAGAGGUUACUGAUCUUAGUGUACUGAAUACCUUCCAUUUGCUCCUUUAAAUCUACCCUCCAGCCCUCUUCAGGACAGUCUGUGCUUUAGGAGGUUGACCUGUGUGGAGUACACCCACAUGCUAUGGGGAGCACUGGCAGGUAAAUGGAGCUGGGGAGAUGGCGGUGGAAUGCAAUCUGACUUAUCUUGACAGAGCUCAUGUCAGGGGGCCCUUUUGGUCUCUGGUUUCCAUAACUGCUAUCAUCUCCCCUCAUCCCUUCAGGCUUAGAAGUGGUAACAUCUGCCCACCAGGCUAUUUCUGUAAUACUCUGUAUAUGUGCACUAUAAUAUCCUUUGUGGUAUUUUUACCCAUAUCUCUGUAAAUAGUCUCUAUUAAGGUCUCCUCAGAUCCCUCAAUCUGAAAGGCCUGCCUUUCCUCUUGGGACCCUCACUGAUACGGUGAGGUGGCAGGUGAUCAUUUCCUAGCCAUGCAGCAGAACAGGAAUGUCUGCAGUAGAAGCAAAUAAGAGAGAAGAGUGCAAGUGAAGAGAGAAAGAGAGUCCUGGUGCCAUGGCAAUUUGGAUUCCAGUCCUGGAGACCCUCAUUUCUACAGCUUUUCCUUCCAUUCCAUGAGUUACUUUAGUAUACUCCAUGUCAAGCAGGCAAGCAACAGGAAGUGAAUGAGUGUUUAGAUCAUUCUGAAUUGGGUUUUCUGUUACUUGCCAUGAAGUAUAUGAGGGUAGUUCGUGGCUUAUGAAACUGAAACAUCCAGAGGUAGGUGGGUUUCAGAAUUAGUGGAUCUAGUAGCUUGACAAUGUCAUCAAAGACCUUGUUUGCUGUCCAGUGUCAGCUUCCUUCUAAGCCUGGUUUUCUGCAUAGUUGUAAAAAGGCGGUUGUAUCCUUCCCUCUUACAUUUGGUAGGAGAUAGAUAGUUGCUUCCAGAAAAUUCUUUCCUUGAAACCCUCAGCAAAUCUCUCCUUGCUUCCCAUUGGCCCACACACUGUUACAUGCUUCUCACUGAACCAAAAACAGUAGGCAGGAGGUGAAAUUAUGCUGAUUAGUGUAAACCUGUGCCAUAAGCUGGGUCCCUUGAAUCUGGUGAGGUCAGUUUGCCAAAAGUGCGUGGGCUUCUGGGUAGGGAUAUAAGGAGGAGAAUGGAUGAUGAACAAUUAGGGGAGUUACUAAGAGAAAAGGAAAUGGAUAUUGGGGAGAUAACUCAAUGUCUUCUAUACUUUCCCAGUUACACAAGUCAAUAGUUUAUUUCCUGCUUAAACUGUUUUAUGUUAAGUUUCCUUCUUGUCUUAAAAAAGCCUUAAUACAACUGGGAAGCUCUGCCAUUUACUAGCUGUGUGACUUAGGGCAUGUCACACAAGCUAUUUAAG